GUGCUUGCUUCAGCAGCACAUGUACUAAAAUUGGAACAAUAUAGAGAUUAGCAUGGCCCCUUUGCAAGGAUGACAUGCAAAUUUGUCAAGUUCCAUAUUUUUUA
This is a small nuclear RNA of Cebus imitator (Panamanian white-faced capuchin), 104 nucleotides long. The record is from RefSeq and is a predicted model, not a curated record. NCBI's taxonomy places the organism in Eukaryota, Metazoa, Chordata, Mammalia, Primates, Cebidae.